AACGCUGGCGGCGUGCCUAAUACAUGCAAGUCGAACGGUCUUUCUAUGGAAGCUUGCUUCCACUGAGAAGAUAGUGGCGAACGGGUGAGUAACACGUGGGUAACCUGCCCAUAAGAGGGGGAUAACAUCCGGAAACGGGUGCUAAUACCGCAUAGUCUUCUUGAUUGCAUGAUUGAGAAAGGAAAGACGGCCUUUGUGCUGUCGCUUAUGGAUGGACCCGCGGCGUAUUAGUUAGUUGGUGAGGUAACGGCUCACCAAGACGAUGAUACGUAGCCGACCUGAGAGGGUGAUCGGCCACAUUGGGACUGAGACACGGCCCAAACUCCUACGGGAGGCAGCAGUAGGGAAUCUUCCGCAAUGGACGAAAGUCUGACGGAGCAACGCCGCGUGAGUGAAAGAAGGUUUUCGGAUCGUAAAACUCUGUUGUCAGAGAAGAACAAGUUGGAGAGUAACUGCUCCAGCCUUGACGGUAUCUGACCAGAAAGCCACGGCUAACUACGUGCCAGCCGCGGC
This 513-nucleotide ribosomal RNA is filed under the name uncultured bacterium. Its description in RNAcentral is "bacterial SSU rRNA". It matches the Rfam family "Bacterial small subunit ribosomal RNA", at positions 32 to 518 of the family's 1533-position model. The record is from RNAcentral.